Molecule: ribosomal RNA, 318 nt
Filed under: Triticum aestivum (bread wheat)
Lineage: Eukaryota; Viridiplantae; Streptophyta; Magnoliopsida; Poales; Poaceae
Description: partial small subunit ribosomal RNA
Source: RNAcentral
AUGAACCAUGGAGAACCCUCAGACGACCCUUCUAAGAUAAGGGGGAGAAUCAGUAGUGGUGACCCUUUGACUCUUCCACUGACUUAUAUAUGUACCGAGUGCUUAUAUAUGGAACCUGGGGGGUUGCUCCGAUAAAAAAUCCUUUCUUUCUCGUCCACUCUAGGGGGUGCAGACACACUUGCGCGGAUUAUAGGUGACGGUUACAAGAAUGGCGGGGAAGUGAAGAGUACCAGACGACAUUCAGGGAUGAAUGUAGACCCAUCGGGCGGGGAUAAUCAUUCCAGUGCUGGGAGAGGUGGCGACACCAGUCUGAGGUGA